Molecule: ribosomal RNA, 433 nt
Filed under: uncultured bacterium
Lineage: Bacteria
Description: partial 16S ribosomal RNA
Rfam family: Bacterial small subunit ribosomal RNA
Source: RNAcentral
AACGAACGCUGGCGGCAGGCCUAACACAUGCAAGUCGAGCGCGCCCUUCGGGGUGAGCGGCGGACGGGGGGGUAACGCGUGGGAACGUGCCCUUCUCUGCGGAAUAGCCUCGGGAAACUGAGAUUAAUACCGCAUACGCCCUUUGGGGGAAAGAUUUAUCGGAGAAGGAUCGGCCCGCGUUGGAUUAGGUAGUUGGUGGGGUAAUGGCCCACCAAGCCGACGAUCCAUAGCUGGUUUGAGAGGAUGAUCAGCCACACUGGGACUGAGACACGGCCCAGCCUCCUACGGGAGGCAGCAGUGGGGAAUCUUAGACAAUGGGGGCAACCCUGAUCUAGCCAUGCCGCGUGAGUGAUGAAGGCCUUAGGGUUGUAAAGCUCUUUCAGCUGGGAAGAUAAUGACGGUACCAGCAGAAGAAGCCCCGGCUAACUCCGUG